RNAcentral lists this ribosomal RNA (440 nucleotides) under uncultured bacterium. RNAcentral's name for it is "partial 16S ribosomal RNA". It matches the Rfam family "Bacterial small subunit ribosomal RNA", at positions 338 to 795 of the family's 1533-position model. The record is from RNAcentral.
CCUACGGGAGGCAGCAGUGGGGGAUAUUGCACAAUGGGGGAAACCCUGAUGCAGCGACGCCGCGUGUAGGAAGACGGUCCUCUGGAUUGUAAACUACUGUCCCCAGGGACGAAGAUGACGGUACCUGGGGAGAAAGCUCCGGCUAACUACGUCCCAGAAGCCGCGGUAAUACGUAGGGAGCGAGCGUUGUCCAGAAUUACUGGGUGUAAAGGGGGCGUAGGCGGGGAUGCAAGUUGGGUGUUAAAUCUACCGGCUCAACUGGUAGUCGCACUCAAAACUGCAGCUCUUGAGUGAAGUAGAGGCAGGCGGAAUUCCUAGUGUAGCGGUGAAAUGCGUAGAUAUUAGGAGGAACACCAGUGGCGAAGGCGGCCUGCUGGGCUUUUACUGACGCUGAGGCUCGAAAGUGUGGGGAGCAAACAGGAUUAGAUACCCUGGUAGUC